Long non-coding RNA from Mercenaria mercenaria, 1851 nucleotides. RefSeq lists it as uncharacterized. NCBI's taxonomy places the organism in Eukaryota, Metazoa, Mollusca, Bivalvia, Venerida, Veneridae. The transcript has 4 exons. The record is from RefSeq and is a predicted model, not a curated record.
CAUGCAGUUAUUGCUCUGAAUAUACGCGGAUAUUUAAAGUGCAUGGCGGAUUUAUUGGUUGUUAUGAUAAGUGUUUAUUUUCAUCAUAAAUUUAUUCUAACUUAAGUAAAAAAAGAAUGGAAAGACCGCUUCUUUUGUUGAUGUAUCGAAGAUACAACUUGGCAGCGAAAAAAUGGCCGUGUUGACAUUUCGAUCUGACUGUCUGCUGUCAAGUACUUUUAAUAUAUUUUCUGUAUAUUUGUAAAUUUUCAUGAUGGCAGAAUAUACUUGUAGCCAAGACAGUCAGGCAUCUACUAUAUUAACACUGAUUAAGUACAUUCUGUAUGAAAUUAUUUUCUAUCUAGAAAUUGUAAAUAAAAGGAAUAUUUUACAUUUUUUUAACUGUCACAGAUGUGAACUGGUGAAUAAUUACAUGGUCAUUAUGCACAUACAGUAGAAUCUAUGACAAUUGGAAAAGAAAAGUACAAUAACACAGGAAAAGUGGUGUUUUAAAUUGUCACUUUUUGUUGUAAUAGCAACUAAAAUAGACCUCCUGAAAAUUUCUAAAAAAUUCUACAUGCAAUUUACAAUAAAAACUACUUUUUUCAUUCUCACUACUGCCUGUACUGGCAGACAGCAUACUGGUAGGCUACUAAAUAAAUGAAAAAUUCUUUGUUUAUAUUUUUUCAGGACAACCUCCAGCAGUAAGAGAUAUAAAGGUUCAUUGCAGUUUUGACUAUGCUCAACAAGUAUUGUACACAUACUAUGCUCAGCAAGUGGAGUUGCUGUGAAUUCUCAUGCAGGCUCUCAGAUUUUCUACCUAGUGUAUGAAAAGUACAGUACUGCUGUUGGAAGAGGAGUAUCUAUGGUCCACCAUCACUUCAAGCAUCAUGGCUAUGGAUAAAAGAAGGUUUCAUUACAUAUGGACAAUUAUAUUGGACAAAAUAAGAAAAGUGUUCUAAUAAGUUCUGGAAUGUGGCUGGUUAUGAUGGGUCUACAUGAUUGACUUGGAGUACAACCUGAUGGAGGCCGGGCUUGCAGAUUUCAGUCCUAAACAUGUUUAGAAUGUCUUCUGCAUGACCUAGUAUAGUAUUCUUGAAGGAUUAUAACUUCAACACAGAGACAGAGAUUAAUAUUUUAGGCAGGGGAUUGGCAUGACAGGCAAAUUCUCCAACCGUAUUACCAUUCCUGAGCUGGAUGCCAGUCGACAGUCGUACCUGUAUAAUGAAAUAGCGCCCCUUUGCAGCAACAGCAAUGUAUGCUCAAAACCAGCAGUACCAAAGCCAUUAAAAUUGAGAACUCUGUCAUUUAAAACGAAGAAUGAAUGGAAAAAAGUGUUUAACAUUUAAAUUAAGACAGAGAAAGAGCUAAGCUCAUUUGGUAUUUUCUGAAAUUUCAAUUAAUUUGAAAGUGUUUUUGAUUUUUUAAAGGUGUACUAGACCCAAAUUCCAUAUAAUAUGAAUAUGAACAAAUGCUACAUAUAGUUAUGUAAACAUUGAAUUAACAAGUUUAUGGUGUCAGCAGUACUAUGCAUUGGUUAAAUAUUGACACACUGUAUGUAUGUAAGGCUGAACACAGUAUAAAUGUGAAAUUCCUCUAAGACACUGGAAGAUUUUUCAACAAUCUACUGUUUAGUACUGCACGACAUAAAAUUCUAAAUGGAGCUCUACAUACACAGUUGAUUUAUACAUUAAGCAAAGUUAAAUAUAUUUAUUGAUGAUUUUCUACAUUUGAAGUAAUUACCUAAAUAUUAAAUAUUUUAGUGAAGAUAUAUUUUAUGCAACUAUAUAAGUUGAAAAAAGCUACCCUCCAGGAAGAAUAUUUUGAAAUGAUACUUUUACUUGAAAAUUUAUGUGAAAAAUGAAGGAAAUA